AUUGAACGCUGGCGGCAUGCCUUACACAUGCAAGUCGAACGGCAGCACGGGUGCUUGCACCUGGUGGCGAGUGGCGAACGGGUGAGUAAUACAUCGGAACGUACCUUAUCGUGGGGGAUAACGCAGCGAAAGCUGUGCUAAUACCGCAUACGCCCUGAGGGGGAAAGCGGGGGAUCGCAAGACGUCGCGCGAUUAGAGCGGCCGAUGCCUGAUUAGCUUGUUGGUGGGGUAAAAGCCCACUAAGGCGACGAUCAGUAGCUGGUCUGAGAGGACGAUCAGCCACACUGGGACUGAGACACGGCCCAGACUACUACGGGAGGCAGCAGUGGGGAAUUUUGGACAAUGGGGGCAACCCUGAUCCAGCAAUGCCGCGUGAGUGAAGAAGGCCUUCGGGUUGUAAAGCUCUUUUGUCAGGGAAGAAACACCGGCUCUAACACAGUCCGGGAAUGACGGUACCUGAAGAAUAAGCACCGGCUAACUACGUGCCAGCCGCCGCAGUAA
RNAcentral lists this ribosomal RNA (501 nucleotides) under uncultured bacterium. RNAcentral's name for it is "partial 16S ribosomal RNA". It matches the Rfam family "Bacterial small subunit ribosomal RNA", at positions 30 to 523 of the family's 1533-position model. The record is from RNAcentral.